Long non-coding RNA from Brassica napus (rape), 9808 nucleotides. RefSeq lists it as uncharacterized. NCBI's taxonomy places the organism in Eukaryota, Viridiplantae, Streptophyta, Magnoliopsida, Brassicales, Brassicaceae. The record is from RefSeq and is a predicted model, not a curated record. The transcript is spliced from 3 exons.
AAAAAAACCUUUUACGUAUAUUUUUUUUGUUAUAUAUAUAUAACAAUCUGAAGUAAAACAAAAAUAUAAAAAAUUUAAAAAGUUAAGAAGAUAUCAUAAAAAUGGCUAUCACCAAGAAAAUGCUACUUGCAUAUAUGUUGUCAGUAUCUUCCUCAUCGUAUCUUCUGUGCACUGCUCUGAUCGUAUUUUUGGUAUUAGCUUAUUCUUAUAACUCGAUUUUACUUUUAUUGUGAACACAUUUUUUUUUGCUUUAUUUUGAAUGUAUAUAACGAUUUAUAACUGUUGUUACAUAGGUGUUGGAAUCAAUAAAGAAUUAAAACAAUGCUUCCCAAAGCAGCCGUGUGGGAAGACUUGCGAAGAGUAUUGUGUAGGACACAUUAACGAUAAAUGGGGUAUAAGGACAUCUUGUGAAUCUGGCGCAUGUUGUUGUAUAAAAGAUGGUGCUGUAUAACCACGAGAUAUUUUAAUCUCAUCAAAUAUAUGUAUCUCCUAGAAUAAUGGUUUGGAUGUAAUAAAUGGUUUGUGUAUUGUGCUCUCGAUCUUCUUAGCUAAAGAAAAUCAUUAUCUAUUUUCUUUUGAUUGUAAUCUAUUGAGAACACUGAGUCAAAGCAUAAGAAUGUGAAGGAAUCUUUGAUUCAAUGUUGUAAGGCGGACUGCGAGAUACAAUUGUAGAAAGAAAAGUUUAAGAUAGAAACUCAGAGCGCGAAAUAAAUUGCAUAAGGUGAUUAGAAUUGAGAGAAAAGUUAAUUGCCGAAGAACAAUGCUCACAUGCUAGGCUAUAAAAAUUAUGCAUAUUUUAGGAAAAUGUACAUAUGUUUAUUAGUAAAAAUGAGUAAAAACCCAACAAUGUCAAGUAGUUAUUUAUUUUUGAUACUCGAUACUUUUUUGAAUUUGAAAGUAAUUUAAAUAGAUUAUUUGAUAUUCGACUUUGUUCAAGUCAAUUUCCAAAGUUUACAAGUUAAAUAAAGACCAUGUACAUAGUACGAGGAGAGACAUGUAAGGAAUAACUACGCUCAUCUCUAACAAUUCAGUGAUUUCUAUGUAUAAUAUUAAAACAGAAGUACAAAACUUUAUUUACCUAAUUUUAAGUGAUUUUUACAUCUUAUUCAUUCCUUUUUAACUAAUUUUAACCAUUUAAUUUAUUAUAUUUUUCAAUUAAUUCGACAUCAUUUAUUACAAAAGUUUAAAGUAUAAUGUACCUAUUUUAAUUUUUAUUAUAUCUUUACAUUCCUUUUUCAUUCUUCAUGACUACUUCAUUAAUUGUCUUUACCAUAAUAAUUCGACAUCAUUUAGUUUACGUGUUAACAUAAUAAUUCUACAGGUUUGAAUGCAAUUGUUCCAUUUGUGACAAGAAUUCAAACCGGUUAACAAAGAAAGUUUUAUUUAUUUACAUAAUUAGUUAGGCAUAGGUAUUUCGGUAUUCGUUUGGGAAUCGGUUCUUUCAGGUAUCAAGAUUUCGGAUUUUAAAAUUAUGCUCUGUUUGGAUAUUGUAAGUUUAUGGGCAUAGUUAGAGUCGGGCCCUCGGUUAUGAUGUAUAGGAAUAUAAAGCUAUCCAAAAACAUAUGUGUUUAAAAAUGUCAUUAAACAAUAUAUUAAAAAAAAGAGUAAUUGCAGUGUACACACAAGAACUAUUUCAUAAUUAGUUCAUUGCACAUUUAGGGCUUUUGUCUUUUUAAAAAAAAAUUGUAUUGACCAUUAUACCCCUAUGCCUGGACGGUUUCUAUCUUCGAUAUUUAUUCUCAAGAACACAUCAAAGUUCUUUUCUCUGUCCUUUCUUAGAAACCUCAACCUCUCACAAAACUUUCGACGUUAGAUAUCUGCUCUGGUGGCCUUCUUCUCCGUUCGUGGCCACCAGAGGCUUCCUCCUCUCACUCUCCUCUUUGAUUUUUGCUCUGCUUUGCCAUCUUUCGGUCCUUUGUCAAUAUGCGUGAUAUUGUGGGGGAAGCUCCGCCGAGGGUUGUCUUCAUCCGCUCCGGGAGAUGUAGAUCUGAGGUCGGGGGUUCUUCUCUGGAGUGGUCGUGGUGGUGGAUCGGAGUCAGCUCUUCGGCGUUCUCAUCGUGAAUCUUGAUUUUGUCUUUGAAGGUCUUGCGGUGUGAACAGAGGCGGAGGCGAGUGACGGUGAUGGGUGGGCUCUCUCCUCCUGGUAUGGUCGUGUGGUUAUCCGAAGAGUUACUCUUCGCUGUGGAGUGGAGUGAUUGGCUCUCCCUUGCCGGCGACUUAGUGUCUCGUCGUUCGACGAGGGUCUGUUUGUUACUCAGGGUUGGUGAUGGUUCAUUCCCGUCGGACCGUGCACAGGUUAUGGAGCGGCUGUGUGGUUGUUUCGUUUCUGUGUUUUGCGUUUGCAAGCAAAGUUAAGAGUUUUCAGGAUCUGUCUUCUAUGGCUGCUCCUCUUCUCUGGUUUUUCCAUACCUUUGUUAUGUCCUCCUCAUUGCAAGGGUGUGUUGCUUUAACCGUCAGUGUUAGAGCUCUCAGUUAUCGCAUUGUUUGUCUGUUCUGCGUCUCUCCAGCCUGGACUCAGCGUAGAUGCACAGUUAGACCGAAUCAUGUUCUGUGCUCCAGAGCAAGGAUUCGGCUCAAGUCUCUGAUUUUGUCAAUUGGGGUUUGUAUCGAUGUGGAGACUUGCUUGAGUUAACGCCAUCCCGGUGUGUAGUGAAUUGUUUGAUCUUCCCCGCAGAUGUUGUCUCUUCUUUUUACAGAUUAUAUCACAUGUGGUUCUUUUAUGUGAAUAAGUCUUUAUGUUGAUCGUAUCUCAAAGCUUCUACUCUGUUCUUUUACAGGCCAGGCUUGAAAUAAUGGGAAAAAAGGCAACGUUCAUUUCAGGAACAGAGGCUGCAAAGAAGUGUUUGAUUGUUUUAGGAGUUUUCUAUUGUUUUUACCACCAUCGCUCGUCACCACCAUAGCCAUCCGACACCACCACGACCACAACGGCUACCGAAUCUUUUAUCCGCUAUAGUUGUUGACAAUAAUUUGUAAAUAGAAUUUAUAACUCUAUAGUUGUUGACAAUAAUUUUUAAAAUACGGUUUUACAAACUAAAUUGCUGGAGUUUUCAUUUUUAAUAACCAGCUAACUAAAUUUAUAGUUGGCUCUGAUUUUAAAAUACGGUUGUUGGGGUUUUCAUUAUUAAUAACCGGCUAACUAAGUUUAUAUUUGGUCUUGAUUUUAAAAAUAUGGUUAACGAAUCCUUUAUCCUCUAAUAACAUAAUUAACUUGCAUUUUCAAAUCCAAGAUAACAUACCCUAUAGCCAGCCACCGUGCAUCUUCCCCUAAAAACCAGUGGGGUACCAAAUUGCUCGGGUUUCAUAAUUGAUAACAGGAUAAAUAACUUUACAUUUGGCUAUGAUUUAAAAUCUUUGAUAUGCUAAUAACAUAAGUAACUUGUAAAUUCAAACACCUUGAUAAAAUACCCUACGGCCCAGCCACCGUACCAUCUAUACAUAUGUACACAACCCUUAAUGUGGUACCAAACUGUCCGGUUAAACUACAAUUCCGAUUAGUUUGGGCUGAGAUACAAAAUGGGUUGCUAGGUUUAUCUGGACACUACCACACAAAUCUUAAUUUAUUAUGUUUCCAAACGCUUGUACAAUUCGAGGCAUCUCUUAACCCUUAACUCUAUAUUUUGCAGAGUCGCUCAUCGCCAUCUUUCUGAAGCCAUGGAGACGACUCAGAGUCCGGCCUCUGACGCGACAUCAAAUCCCAUGUAUACAAGAAGAGCAAGGUCCUCUAUGCCAGUGUGGGAAGACGUGUCCGGCUACUCUUUUUUUCACACAAGUUGUCUCCGGUUACUUUCAUAAAUAGACAAAAAUGAAUGAUUAUAUUCUCUCUCUUACGUACUUGCGCAACCUCAUUUAGGAAAAUGUACAUAUUAGUAAAAAUGAGUAAAAACCCAACAAUGUCAAGUAGUUAUUUAUUUUUAAUACUCUACACUUUUUUGCAUUUGAAAGUAAUUUAAAUAGAUUAUUUGAUAUUCUACUUUGUUCAAGUCGAUUUUCAAAUUUUACAAGUUAGAUAAAGACCAUGUGCAGAGUACGAGGCGAGACAGGUAAGGAAUAACUAUGCUCAUCUCUAACAAUUCAGUGAUUUCUAUGUAUUAAAUAAAAACAGAAGUACAAAACAUUAUUACCUAAUUUUAAGUGUUUUUUACAUCUUAAUCAUUCCUUUUUAAACUAUUUUUAACCCUUUAAUUUAUAAUUUUUUCCAAUAAUUCGACAUCAUUUAUUACAGAAGGGUAAAAUAUAAUGUACCUAUUUUAAGUUUUUAUUAUAUAUUUACAUUCCUUUUUCAUUCUUCAUGACUACUUCAUUAAUUGUCUUUACCAUAAUAAUUCGACAUCAUUUAGUUUACGUGUUAAUAUAAUAAUUCUACAGGUUUGAAUGCAAUUCUUCCAUUUGUGACCAGAAUUCAAACCGGUUAACAAAGAAAGUUUUACUUAUUUACAUAAUUAGUUAGGCAUGGGUAUUUCGGUAUUCGUUUGGGUACGAAUCGGUUUUUUCAGGUCUCAUGAUUUUGGAUUUUUAAAUUAUGCUCUGUUUGGAUAUUGUAAGUUUAUGGGCAUAGUUCGAGUCGGGUCCUCGGUUAUUAUGUAUAGGAAUAUAAAGCUAUCCAAAAGCAUAUAUGUUUAGAAAUGUCAUUAAACAAUUUAUUAAAAAAGAAAAAGUAAAACACAACAGACAAGCGGAUCAAGUUCUAGUUAGAUUUCAAAAAUUUAGAGAGGAUUCAUGUCUCUAAGGGGAGAUUUGAACAAACAUUAAAAUCACGGAUUCGAUAAAUCAAAAAGAUUUGCUUCCUUUGAUGUAUUUGACUACGAAACUAAACUUUGUUUUUAUUCAUAUUAUAGAAACUUAUUUUGAAAUUAAGUAUGUCUUUUAUGUUUACCAAAUAUUUUUCAUGAAAGAUUAAAAUAUUACCCUACCUAUAUUGAAACAUAAUUACGAAAUAGACUAUUUUCUUUUGACUAUAAUCUGAAGAAAUAAAUCAAAAUGAUUCUUUUGACUUAAAAAUACCUUUUACGUAUAUUUUUUUGUUAUAUAUAUAUAUAUAUAUAUUAUAUAUAUAUAUAUAUAUAUAUAACAAUCCGAAGUAAAACAAAAAUAUAAAAAAUAUAAAAAGUUAAGAAGAUAUCAUAAAAAUGGCUAUCACCAAGAAAAUGCUACUUGCAUAUGUUGUCAGUAUCUUCCUCAUCGUAUCUUCUGUGCACUGCUCUGAUCGCAUUCUUGGUGCUGGAAUCAAUAAAGAAUUAAAACAAUGCUUCCCAAAGCAGCCGUGUGGGAAGAUUUGCGAAGAGUACUGUGUAGGACACAUUAACGAUAAAUGGGGUAUAAGGACAUCUUGUGAAUCUGGCACAUGUUGUUGUAUAAAAGAUGGUGCUGUAUAACCACGAGAUAUUGUAAUCUCAUCAAAUAUAUGUAUCUCCUAGAAUAAUGGUUUGGAUGUAAUAAAUGGUUUGUGUAUUGUUCUCUCGAUCUUCUUAGCUAAAGAAAAUCAUUAUAUAUUUUGUUUUGAUUGUAAUCUAUUGAGAACACUGAGGCAAAACAUAAGAAUGUGAAGGAAUCUUUGAUUCAAUGUUGUAAGGCGGAUUGCGAGAUACAAUUGUAGAAAGAAAAGUUUAAGAUAGAAACUCAGAGCGCGAAAUAAAUUGCAUAAGGUGAUUAGAAUUGAGGGAAAAGUUAAUUCUCGAAGAAGAAUGCUGACAUGCUAGGCUAUAAAAAAUUAUGUAUAGUUUAGGAAAAUGUACAUAUGUUUAUUAGUAAAAAUGAGUAAAAACCCAACAAUGUCAAGUAGUUAUUUAUUUUUGAUACUCGAUACUUUUUUGCAUUUGAAAGUAAUUUAAAUAGAUUAUUUGAUAUUCGACUUUGUUCAAGUCACUUUCCAAAUUUUACAAGUUAAAUAAAGACCAUGUACAGAGUACGAGGAGAGACAGGUAAGGAAUAACUAUGCUCAUCUCUAACAAUUCAGUGAUUUCUAUGUAUAAUAUUAAAACAGAAGUACAAAACAUUAUUUACCUAAUUUUAAGCGAUUUUUACAUCUUAUUCAUUUCUUUUUAAACUAAUUUUAACCAUUUCAUUUAUUGUAUUUUCUAAUUAAUUCGACAUCAUUUAUUACAGAAAUUUAAAGUAUAAUGUACCUAUUUUAAGUUUUAUUAUAUCUUUACAUUCCUUUUUCAUUCUUCAUGACUACUUCAUUAAUUGUCUUUACCAUAAUAAUUCAACAUCAUUUAGUUUACGUGUUAACAUAAUAAUACUACAGGUUUGAAUGCAAUUGUUCCAUUUGUGACCGGAAUUCAAACCGGUUAACAAAGAAAGUUUUACUUAUUUACAUAAUUAGUUAGGCAUGGGUAUUUCGGUAUUCGUUUGGGUACGAAUCGGUUUUUUCAGGUCUCAUGAUUUUGGAUUUUAAAAUUAUGCUCUGUUUGGAUAUUGUAAGUUUAUGGGCAUAGUUCGAGUCGGGUCCUCGGUUAUUAUGUAUAGGAAUAUAAAGCUAUCCAAAAGCAUAUGUGUUAGAAAUGUCAUUAAACAAUUUAUUAAAAAAGAAAAAGUAAAACACAACAGACAAGCGGAUCAAGCUCUAGUUAGAUUUUAAAACUUUAGAGAGGAUUCAUGUCUCUAAGGGGAGAUUUGAACAAACAUUAAAAUCACGGAUUCGAUAAAUCAAAAAGAUUUGCUUCCUUUGAUGUAUUUGACUACGAAACUAUACCUUUUUUUUUAUUCAUAUUAUAGAAACUUAUUUUGAAAUUAAGUAUGUCUUUUAUGUUUACCAAAUAUUUUUCAUGAAAGAUUAAAAUAUUACCCUGCCUAUAUUGAAACAUAAUUACGAAAUAGAAUAUUUUCUUUUGACUAUAAUCUGAAGAAAUAAAUCGAAAUGAUUCUUUUGACUUCAAAAAAACCUUUUACGUAUAUUUUUUUUGUUAUAUAUAUAUAACAAUCUGAAGUAAAACAAAAAAUAUAAAAAAUUUAAAAAGUUAAGAAGAUAUCAUAAAAAUGGCUAUCACCAAGAAAAUGCUACUUGCAUAUGUUGUCAGUAUCUUCCUCAUCGUAUCUUCUGUGCACUGCUCUGAUCGUAUUUUUGGUGUUGGAAUCAAUAAAGAAUUAAAACAAUGCUUCCCAAAGCAGCCGUGUGGGAAGACUUGCGAAGAGUAUUGUGUAGGACACAUUAACGAUAAAUGGGGUAUAAGGACAUCUUGUGAAUCUGGCGCAUGUUGUUGUAUAAAAGAUGGUGCUGUAUAACCACGAGAUAUUGUAAUCUCAUCAAAUAUAUGUAUCUCCUAGAAUAAUGGUUUGGAUGUAAUAAAUGGUUUGUGUAUUGUGCUCGCGAUCUUCUUAGCUAAAGAAAAUCAUUAUCUAUUUUCUUUUGAUUGUAAUCUAUUGAGAACACUGAGUCAAAGCAUAAGAAUGUGAAGGAAUCUUUGAUUCAAUGUUGUAAGGCGGACUGCGAGAUACAAUUGUAGAAAGAAAAGUUUAAGAUAGAAACUCAGAGCGCGAAAUAAAUUGCAUAAGGUGAUUAGAAUUGAGAGAAAAGUUAAUUGCCGAAGAACAAUGCUCACAUGCUAGGCUAUAAAAAAUUAUGCAUAUUUUAGGAAAAUGUACAUAUGUUUAUUAGUAAAAAUGAGUAAAAACCCAACAAUGUCAAGUAGUUAUUUAUUUUUGAUACUCGAUACUUUUUUGAAUUUGAAAGUAAUUUAAAUAGAUUAUUUGAUAUUCGACUUUGUUCAAGUCAAUUUCCAAAGUUUACAAGUUAAAUAAAGACCAUGUACAUAGUACGAGGAGAGACAUGUAAGGAAUAACUACGCUCAUCUCUAACAAUUCAGUGAUUUCUAUGUAUAAUAUUAAAACAGAAGUACAAAACUUUAUUUACCUAAUUUUAAGUGAUUUUUACAUCUUAUUCAUUCCUUUUUUAACUAAUUUUAACCAUUUAAUUUAUUAUAUUUUUCAAUUAAUUCGACAUCAUUUAUUACAAAAGUUUAAAGUAUAAUGUACCUAUUUUAAUUUUUAUUAUAUCUUUACAUUCCUUUUUCAUUCUUCAUGACUACUUCAUUAAUUGUCUUUACCAUAAUAAUUGGACAUCAUAUAGUUUACGUGUUAACAUAAUAAUUCUACAGGUUUGAAUGCAAUUGUUCCAUUUGUGACAAGAAUUCAAACCGGUUAACAAAGAAAGUUUUAUUUAUUUACAUAAUUAGUUAGGCAUAGGUAUUUCGGUAUUCGUUUGGGAAUCGGUUCUUUCAGGUAUCAAGAUUUCGGAUUUUAAAAUUAUGCUCUGUUUGGAUAUUGUAAGUUUAUGGGCAUAGUUAGAGUCGGGCCCUCGGUUAUGAUGUAUAGGAAUAUAAAGCUAUCCAAAAACAUAUGUGUUUAAAAAUGUCAUUAAACAAUAUAUUAAAAAAAAGAGUAAUUGCAGUGUACACACAAGAACUAUUCCAUAAUUAGUUCAUUGCACAUUUAGGGCUUUUGUCUUUUUUUAAAAAAAAUGUAUUGACCAUUAUACCCCUAUUCCUGGACGGUUUCUAUCUUCGAUAUUUAUUCUCAAGAACACAUCAAAGUUCUUUUCUCUGUCCUUUCUUAGAAACCUCAACCUCUCACAAAACUUUCGACGUUAGAUAUCUGCUCCGGUGGCCUUCUUCUCCGUUCGUGGCCACCAGAGGCUUCCUCCUCUCACUCUCCUCUUUGAUUUUUGCUCUGCUUUGCCAUCUUUCGGUCCUUUGUCAAUAUGCGUGAUAUUGUGGGGGAAGCUCCGCCGAGGGUUGUCUUCAUCCGCUCCGGGAGAUGUAGAUCUGAGGUCGGGGGUUCUUCUCUGGAGUGGUCGUGGUGGUGGAUCGGAGUCAGCUCUUCGGCGUUCUCAUCGUGAAUCUCGAUUUUGUCUUUGAAGGUCUUGCGGUGUGAACAGAGGCGGAGGCGAGUGACGGUGAUGGGUGGGCUCUCUCCUCCUGGUAUGGUCGUGUGGUUAUCCGAAGAGUUACUCUUCGCUGUGGAGUGGAGUGAUUGGCUCUCCCUUGCCGGCGACUUAGUGUCUCGUCGUUCGACGAGGGUCUGUUUGUUACUCAGGGUUGGUGACGGUUCAUUCCCGUCGGACCGUGCACAGGUUAUGGAGCGGCUGUGUGGUUGUUUCGUUUCUGUGUUUUGCGUUUGCAAGCAAAGUUAAGAGUUUUCAGGAUCUGUCUUCUAUGGCUGCUCCUCUUCUCUGGUUUUUCCAUACCUUUGUUAUGUCCUCCUCAUUGCAAGGGUGUGUUGCUUUAACCGUCAGUGUUAGAGCUCUCAGUUAUCGCAUUGUUUGUCUGUUCUGCGUCUCUCCAGCCUGGACUCAGCGUCGAUGCACAGUUAGACCGAAUCAUGUUCUGUGCUCCAGAGCAAGGAUUCGGCUCAAGUCUCUGAUUUUGUCAAUUGGGGUUUGUAUCGAUGUGGAGACUUGCUUGAGUUAACGCCAUCCCGGUGUGUAGUGAAUUGUUUGAUCUUCCCCGCAGAUGUUGUCUCUUCUUUUUACAGAUUAUAUCACAUGUGGUUCUUUUAUGUGAAUAAGUCUUUAUGUUGAUCGUAUCUCAAAGCUUCUACUCUGUUCUUUUACAGGCCAGGCUUGAAAUAAUGGGAAAAAAAGGCAACGUUCAUUUCAGGAACAGAGGCUGCAAAGAAGUGUUUGAUUGUUUUAGGAGUUUUCUAUUGUUUUUACCACCAUCGCUCGUCACCACCAUAGCCAUCCGACACCACCACGACCACAACGGCUACCGAAUCUUUUAUCCGCUAUAGUUGUUGACAAUAAUUUGUAAAUAGAAUUUAUAACUCUAUAGUUGUUGACAAUAAUUUUUAAAAUACGGUUUUACAAACUAAA